ACCAAAGUACUGAUAUACAAGAGCAAGGGAGAGGAAAGCGAAAUGAUCUUACCGACUACCAGCUCGAAGCACCCACCUGUCACAAAUGCGCCGGAAACUUGGGUACGCAACGAGUCAACCGGACCUACGAAGAUCCACCGAGUUAGUAACCAACCCACCAAUUCAAAAAUACCUAACUCACAAACCCCACAUAAAUUCCCGAAAUCGGUUUCCCAAAACCGAUCACGAUUACUCGCCGGAAGUCCGAAAAAUCACACCGGGAUGCAGUCG
This 270-nucleotide long non-coding RNA is filed under the name Ananas comosus (pineapple). Its description in RNAcentral is "long non-coding RNA (ACOM_LNC044391)". Lineage: Eukaryota; Viridiplantae; Streptophyta; Magnoliopsida; Poales; Bromeliaceae. The record is from RNAcentral.